Spodoptera frugiperda (fall armyworm) is the source of this 135-nucleotide small nucleolar RNA. Lineage: Eukaryota; Metazoa; Arthropoda; Insecta; Lepidoptera; Noctuidae. The record is from RefSeq and is a predicted model, not a curated record.
UUUGGGCCUUAUCGAAGCUACAUAUUUGUUACAUAAAAUAUGAUAGUCAAAUCAAGGCCAAUAUUAACUGUUCCCGACACGGUCGCGCUUUAGAUAACUUAUAUCUUCAACGUAUCACCGAAGGGGCCUACAAUU